UCUUCACCGCUUUCUCGAAUUCUCUCUUUGUUUUUCCCCGAGUCUGUGUCUGACCUUUUUAUAUAUUCUCUCUCUUGCCGCCGGCCAACACCUUGCCUAGUCUAACAUCGCCGGCCGGCCGUGUUCUCCGGUUAGCAUCACCGCCAGUUCUGAGUGAACCAGCCUUUUCUCCAGUUUCCACACCGACGUCGUUUUGAGCAAGGACAAGAAAAUUGAAACCUGGUUUUAGCAUUUUCGCUCUUCUCCAUGACCUUCCAUGUUCAGAAAUGUGCUAAAAACAUUCAUAACUUGGUUGGUCCAGCAAUAUCUUUUGCCUUAAUCCAUGAUUCUUCUCAGAGCUUCUCUCGUGCUUUUUCUUCAUGUCUUUCUUUUCCAUUGGAGUCUUCCCAUGUCAUAAGAAGUGGAUAUACUGAUCAUGAACAACAAUAUGAAGACUCGGAAAGAUUGUCUGCUCUUGACAUUCUUGUAGCUAGAGUUCCUAUAGGAGUUAGUGAAGAUGAAGUUCUUCAGUCUCUGUUGCGUGAUCAAGCAUGUAAUAGCAUAAGGCUCUCUUCUGAGCUUGUUGAUAAGUUGCUUCAUAAGUUCAAGGAUGAUUGGAAGUCUGCAUUGGGCUCUUUUAGAUGGGCAGGGUCACGCUCAGGUUAUAAACACACACCUGAAGCUUAUGAUAUGUUAGUGGACAUAUUGGGUAGAAUGAAGCAAAUGGAUAAGAUGAAGGCUCUGUUGGAAGAAAUGAAUCAAUAUCAUCUUGUGACCCUUAAUACUAUAGCAAAAGUGAUGAGAAGGUUUGCUGGUGCUGGGAAAUGGGAAGAUGCUGUGAGGAUAUUUGAUGAGUUAGGAACUUUUGGAUUGGAGAAGAAUACAGAAUCAAUGAAUUUGUUGCUUGACACCCUUUGCAAAGAGAACAAGGUUCAGCAGGCCCGUGAGAUCUUCUUGGAGCUCAAGUCACAUAUUUCACCCGAUGCUCACACGUUUAACAUUUUCAUUCAUGGUUGGUGCAAAGCCAAUAGGGUCGAUGAGGCAUAUUGGACAAUCCAAGAGAUGAAGGGACAUAGCUGUCGACCUUGUGUCAUUAGCUACUCAACCAUCAUCCAAUUCUAUUGCUACCAGUAUAACUUUGGUAAGGUCUAUGAGCUGCUUGAUGAAAUGCAAGCUCAUGGGUGUCCGCCAAAUGUUGUUACUUUCACCACUAUCUUGUGUUCAUUGGCAAAGUCAGAGGAGUUUGAGGAAGCGUUGCAUAUUGUUGACAGGAUGAAGUUGGCUGGAUGUAAACCUGAUACACUUUUCUACAAUUCAUUGAUCCAUACUCUUGGGAGAGCUGGCUUUGUGCAGGAGGCUGUUUAUGUUUUUGAGGUGGACAUGCCUCAGACUGGCGUCAAACCAAACACAUCAACCUAUAAUUCAUUGAUUGCUAUGUUUUGCCGUCGUGGUCAGGAACAAAAUGCCUUGAAUGUCCUAAAAGACAUGGAAAAAUCAGGCCUUUGUAAGCCUGAUGUUCAGACAUACUACCCAUUGCUCAAGUCGUGCUUUAAAACUGGGAAAACAGAUAGCUGUUUAAGAAAAUUAUUGGAUGACAUGGUCAAUAAACAUCACCUGAGUCUUGAUAUAUCAACCUAUGCACUUCUAAUUCAUGGGCUUUGCCGAGCAAAUAAAUGUGAGUGGGCUUACACAAUCUUUGAGGAGAUGAUUGGUCAAGAGAUAGCACCUAGAUAUCACACAUGCUGUUUGCUAUUGGAUGAAGUAAAACAGAAGAAUAUGUAUGCUGCUGCUGAAAGGAUUGAAGAUUUGAUGAAAAAAUUAUAAAUUUUUGACUAACAAUCAUGUCAAGGUGAACAAGCGUAUACUUUUUCUCUUCUGAAAGAACAGAAAACAUCUACUUCUGUCUUCUACAACAGACGAUUAGCUACACUAAAUUUGCCAAUAUUUGAUGGGCAAGGAGUACUGGCAUUUUUAUAUCAUCAAAGGCAUAUGAAAAAACCAGGCAAAGGCCACAAGAUGACUGCCAUGGCCGGCAGUAAUCCAGAUAACGGUUUUGGGGGGACAGGGACUGUUCAUGCACUAAAGGCACUGAUACUCAGCAGAUUGCACAAGAAGUCUGGUUGACCACCAUGAUCCUUCUGUCCUUCAGUUUAGAAACAUAUUGAAGUCAUCCUAACCUUUGUCGUGUACUUUGUAAACAACUUGCACUGGGUGGAUUGAGAAGAAAAAAAAGGUGAACCUUUCUACUGAUGAAGAUUCUUAGUGCAUUUUUGGACAACUGCUUGAGGAUUAAGGUGAACAUCUUAAUUGGGGUCAAAUGAUCAUCAGCACAUGUUUGGGAUAUUCUCUCUCUCCUUUUUUUCUUUUCCUGAUAUAUUUUAAUCAAUUAUGAAUGUUAUGAAAGGAAGAAUAUGGUAUGAUGAUAAAUUACCGAUUGUCCUAAAAACUUAAGUUGUUAGGAAAUUAUAAAAAUAAUCAUUUAACCAUAAUUUACUUAUAUAAAAAAAUUAUUUAACCAUAAUUCUAACACUUCUCAUUUCCCCUCACAUGUGGGCCUAGACUCUCCCUUAAUAUAUAUAUAUAUAUAUAUAUGGGAAAGUCUAGGUGCACAUCUGAAAAUGCACAUAAGCGGGCAUGUACUGAUGUGUAAAGGCACAGUUAGUGCCAGCGGAAUUAAGAGUCAGCCACGUCGAUUAUACUAAUAGAGGCAAGUGAUAAGGUGGCAUCCUAAAUAGGAGGUAAAGUGUAGAUAAGGUUCGAACUCAAGACCAUUUACUUUUAUACCAUGAUAAAAUACUAAUUGCUGCAAAAGCUUAUACUAUUUGAGAAUGGUAAAAUUAUUUAUUUAACUAUAAUUCUAACAUGUGACCCAUCAAGGUGCUGCCUAGUAGUUGGAGGCUUGAGAUGAGUUGUAGACCUAGAUAUUCUAGGUUUGAUCUCCAUUAGGAAUUUUUCUGAAUUACUUGAUACAUGAUUAUAGUGGAUUGGGUCAUAUAUCCAUGGUUUACUUCUCAAGGAUGGUCCAAAGGGCCCUACCUCCACAUCAUUAAGGAAAAAAAAACAUGUAGUUUCUUUUUCUUCUCUCUUUAUUUUGGGGAGAAUUUUAUUAUUUUUCUAAUACAUAAAAGUUGCUUUGGGGGAAAAAGUUGCAUAUUUUUCUUGAUCUUUGAGCGUGACAAAUAUUUUGUUCACUUGAAUGAGAACAUCUUUACAUAAAGGAGUUGGAACUUGGAAUACCACUAAUAUCUAAGAGUCUUGUGUUCAACUAGAAACCUUUUCUUUAUGAGGUGUGGGCUCUAGCUAAUUGGGCUACCCCUUGGAUUUGAUAGAACUUAAAAUAGUUGUCAUUACUAAUUGCAUGCUUUCACACGACAGAGUGCUCUCUGGUGACACCUCUGUGGCUUAACUCACCAGCUAUAUGGUUAAUAUGGUUGACUUGCUUUGUUUAAAUUGUUAUCCCCUGAUUUGGUUGAUGAUGGACCUGUAACACCUUUCAUGACAAUGUGGCCCUUCUGAAGACUUUAUUAAUGAAUCUUAUAUGGUAGUUGAUCCAAACCUAAGAUUCAGAGAGAUACGGUGUUCUGGCUGUGGGCAUUUAUCAGUAUUGUGUUCAUUUGGAUGAGCAGUGAACUUGUUAAACUCGUACAGUUUUUUUAAAGUUUUGGGUUAUUUAUUUAUUUAUAAUUUUUUUAAAGCUAUUUUGCUUUUACUCAACUUAUUUUUAAAGCUCUAAGCUCUCUCACAUGAGCACAAAGAGGUAAGAUCUGCCAAUUCAUUAGAAUGAAGCUAUUUCCAAAUCAUAUGCAGUCUACAAAUGUUGAUCUCAUUGCUUUUGCAAUGGCUUGAGAUGAUUGAAUCUUUGUUUGUUGUUGUUUCCCUCUUUGUUGCACUUUGGAGAUGCAUUGUCAUGUGAUCGUUGUCCAUUGGAGCAAAUAAAGGAGAGAACUAAAUGGAGAUAGUUGAAUCUCGUGAUCCAAUGAUGCUUUUGCUUAAUGACAAAUGAAAUAGAACCAACAAGAAGCAGUAAAAGAUGGACCAAAUUACUGAACUCACGAGGGUCCAUAUCUUCCUCAGCCAUGUGCAUGAUGGGCCACCUUUUAUGAUUAUUUUACCAACUGUGUUACUGUGCUUAAUUAUAAUUAAUAGCCUAAUAAUUUCACUGUUGAAGCUUUGUGAAUUGAGAGUUGUGACACAUGGGGCCAAUGUCUCUCGUUUGUCCAUUGCCUUGCCUUGCUG
RNA transcript from Quercus lobata, 4215 nucleotides. It is a transcript of the gene named Tetratricopeptide repeat (TPR)-like superfamily protein, with no coding region annotated. The record is from RefSeq and is a predicted model, not a curated record. NCBI's taxonomy places the organism in Eukaryota, Viridiplantae, Streptophyta, Magnoliopsida, Fagales, Fagaceae. The transcript is spliced from 3 exons.